Molecule: long non-coding RNA, 461 nt
Organism: Rattus rattus (black rat)
Lineage: Eukaryota; Metazoa; Chordata; Mammalia; Rodentia; Muridae
Exons: 4
Source: RefSeq, a predicted model, not a curated record
GAGCUUUUUAAAGCACUCCUCCUCAUGUCUUAUUCAGCAUACAUUCUGAGGACAGCUGGAGGAGCCUGUAACAAUGUAACAAGCUACAUUAAUAACUGAAGAUGAGCAAUGAUGGGCAUUCUUCAAGGACCGCAGAUGAGAACACCAUGCCAAGUAUGGCUUUCAGCACCGCAGCAACAUCUGAGGUGCUAGAAGACCUCAUCCUUGAAGCUACAUGCCUGGCAGUUUGGUGGUGAGAAGUCUGUUUUUACUUGCAAAUGUCAGGCAAUCUGAAAGAGGCCAGAGUUUCAUUAUCGAAGAUGACAGGCAUAAAAAGGGGAAGAAUCUUGAAUGGAAAACAAAUUGAAUUUUUCAUGAAAAUUGGAGAAUGCUUUCCGGAACUUGGCGCAAAAUGAGGACUUGCUUUUCUUCUUGGGACUUUCUCUUUUCUGCUUGCUUUGGGAAGUCCAACCCUAAUGUUC